GUACACGCUGUGACUAGCAUAUCAAUAAGCGGAGGAAAAGAAACUAACAAGGAUUCCCCUCAGUAACGGCGAGUGAAGCGGGAAGAGCUCAAAUUUGAAAUCUUAAAGGGUUUCCCUUUACGAAUUGUAGUUUAAAGAAGUGUUUUCUGUUGAGGUUUUGGUAAAAGUUCUUUGGGAAUAGGACAUCAUAGAGGGUGAGAAUCCCGUAUUUGACCUUUACUUUCAACUUUGUGAUACACUUUCAAAGAGUCGGAUUGUUUGGGAAUGCAGUCCAAAAUGGGUGGUAAAUUUCAUCUAAAGCUAAAUAUUGGCGAGAGACCGAUAGCGAACAAGUACCGUGAGGGAAAGAUGAAAAGAACUUUGAAAAGAGAGUUAAAUGGUACGUGAAAUUGUCAAAAGGGAAGCGUUUGACACCAGUGUUGUUUUUCUGAAAAUCAAUUAAAGAACUGUUUAUGCUAAGCUGUUUAGACUUUAUCAGCUAUCUGUUUAGUUUUGAACUUUUCUUUAAUGCACUUUUCAGUUAACAAGUCAACAUCAAUUUCUUUUGCUGUAAAAAAGCUUGAGGAAGGUGGCUUGAGAUUCGUCUUAAGUGUUUAUAGCCUCUUGCCUAUGCAGUCGGAGAGAUUGAGGUCUGCAGCGUAGAUCCUUCGGGGCUAAAUGCAUUUGUGCUAAGUUAUAGCAUUUCAUAGACAACUUGUUGAUUAUGUUUUGUCUAUUGCAUACUCGCUUGUACUAUCAUACCUACGCUUAGGAUGUUGACGCAUGAGAUAUACGC
This 775-nucleotide ribosomal RNA is filed under the name uncultured Neocallimastigales. RNAcentral describes it as "partial large subunit ribosomal RNA". It matches the Rfam family "Eukaryotic large subunit ribosomal RNA", at positions 22 to 646 of the family's 3401-position model. Lineage: Eukaryota; Fungi; Neocallimastigomycota; Neocallimastigomycetes; Neocallimastigales. The record is from RNAcentral.